Long non-coding RNA from Syngnathoides biaculeatus (alligator pipefish), 1260 nucleotides. RefSeq lists it as uncharacterized. Lineage: Eukaryota; Metazoa; Chordata; Actinopteri; Syngnathiformes; Syngnathidae. The record is from RefSeq and is a predicted model, not a curated record. The transcript is spliced from 3 exons.
UGUAAUGAGCUGAAGGAAGAAUGAAAGAGAUUCUGUCACGGUCAGGUUUUCGUGGAGUUGGAAGGCAAAAUGUGGAGAACCCAAGUGCAGGGAAGCGAGGCAGCAAUUUAAAACAAAAAGUUUCAAUUUCCCCCCAAAAUAGGCAAACGAGGAUCAAGGUAUGGGAUAUUAACAGCAAUGAAAAAGUCUAAACAGCCCAACAGAAACUGUUCUGGAGGAUCAGCACCAUGGAGGCUAGGGAGCCGACGCCUGAACAAAAGGGGAAGGGGGAGCCCCCGAGCUGGGGAGCUAAUAGCAAGAGCCAGGAAGCAAGAGGAGCUAAGAACAAAGAGGCAGAAGAGUCGGGGGUAAAAUACCCACAGGCUGCUGUCUGUUCAAACCAAAACUGACUGGAAACCAAGAUUACGAGAGGAUCUACUAAUCACCUUUGGGUCCAGAAGCUGUUGGAGUGUCUGAUUGUUUUUGUUUCCAUUGCUCGGUAGCACCAACCUGAGGGAAGAAGCUGGAGGAGGUGGUGACCAAAAUGUGGAAGUUCCAAGAUGAUUUUUCAUGCUUUUGUCUUAGUUCUGGUAGUGUGCGAAUCCUAAAAGGUGGCUUGUAGGGUAAAGACUUUUUUUUUCGUCAGUCCUGAUGUCUGUCAACUACAACUGUCUGUUGCAGUUCAUUGACAAAAUAGCAUCACCCUCUUGGAGAUUUUCAAAUCCACCUGAUUUGCAAGCCAUUGGCUGUGUAUUACCGUUUGCAUUUAAUAACAAAAUAAUGCAUAUUUGAUACGGCGGCAUGGUGGUGCAGAUAUAGAGCAGUUUUGAGGACCAGGGUUCAAAUCCUGGCCCCGCCUAUGUAGAGUUAGCGUGUUCUCCGCGUACUUGAAUGGGUUUUCUCCAGGGACUAUGGUUUCCUCACACAUCCCAAAAACAUGAUAGCUAGGAUUGGCUCCAGAACUCCUGAGACCCUCGUGAGGAUAGGUGGCUCAGAAAAUGGAUGGAUAUAUGACAUAUAUGACUUAAAUCAUGCCAGACUCAUUUUGACCUGUUAUGCAUACAAUGGUAGGAAAAAAUUCUGAUGGAAAGAGGACCAUUAACCUAAAAAUGUCCAAACUCUCAACCCUACAUAUUCUCAGAUUUCUGUCUUCCAUUAAAACAGAUUGACUAUCGAUUAAUCAAAAAUAUAAUCCACAGAUGAAUUGAUAAUUAAAGUACUUUUAUCCAAACAAUCAGAGCCUGUGAUUCAGUAUUUGCACUUAAAGAGAUCAUCGACAAA